CACUGUCGCGAGGGACGAGAAGCCCAUUACAAACAGUGAUGGGAUAGGACGGUACCUCGAGAGGAAGCACCGGCUAACUCUGUGC
Molecule: ribosomal RNA, 85 nt
Filed under: uncultured bacterium
Lineage: Bacteria
Description: partial 16S ribosomal RNA
Source: RNAcentral